CCAACUGCAACUCUGCACCUCAGACAGACCCAUGGCACUAAUGAUAAACUAUGCUUUAUGGUAGUUGAUAGGAACUUUGACUGUUACAUUAAUGAAAAAUGUCAUAUAUGCACAAAAACUGUAGAUUUCUUUCUUCAUAUUACUGCAGUGUAUUUAAACCAUUUUUUGCUGCUCAACAUUGAUUUGCAUAUUAAGCAAGUCUCUGAAUGUAUUUCAUCUUAUCAAAAGUAAUCUUUGAAGAUGUUUAAAACGCUGAUAAUAUUCAAUUUGAUUGUUUAACUUACUAUGUGUGCAGAUACAGUACUGUACACAGCAGUAUUUUAGUGCUGGUUUUAAAUAGCUAAAGUGGAUGAUGAUUAACAUCAAUGUAAGCAUCUUCACAAUCACGUAACCAUGUUAUAGCUUUAUUUGACUUCUAUAUACAAGAAGUAGAAAAGGUUAUGGCAGGGUUUUAUGUAUCAUGACAUAAAACUCUCUUAUUGCUCUCUAUUUUAGACAAUUCAGUGAAGAAAUAAUGGUUAUCAGUAAGAAAAUAAGCUAUUAUCUGUGGUACAGAGGUUAUUACCUUUGCAGAAUGUACAGUAUGUAUUGUAUCUGAAAUAAAAAGUACUUUAACGUAA
Etheostoma cragini (Arkansas darter) is the source of this 620-nucleotide long non-coding RNA. RefSeq lists it as uncharacterized. The record is from RefSeq and is a predicted model, not a curated record. NCBI's taxonomy places the organism in Eukaryota, Metazoa, Chordata, Actinopteri, Perciformes, Percidae. The transcript has 2 exons.